RNAcentral lists this ribosomal RNA (808 nucleotides) under uncultured bacterium. RNAcentral's name for it is "bacterial SSU rRNA". It matches the Rfam family "Bacterial small subunit ribosomal RNA", at positions 60 to 916 of the family's 1533-position model. The record is from RNAcentral.
AGUCGAACGCCCCGCAAGGGGAGUGGCGGACGGGUGAGUAACGCGUGGGAAUUUUCCUCAAGGUACGGAACAACUCAGGGAAACUUGGGCUAAUACCGUAUGAUGCAGCGAUGCCAAAGAUUUAUCGCCUUGGGAUAAGCCCGCGUCAGAUUAGGUAGUUGGUGGGGUAACGGCCUACCAAGCCUGCGAUCUGUAGCUGGUCUGAGAGGACGAUCAGCCACAUUGGGACUGAGACACGGCCCAAACUCCUACGGGAGGCAGCAGUGGGGAAUCUUGCGCAAUGGGCGAAAGCCUGACGCAGCCAUGCCGCGUGAAUGAUGAAGGUCUUAGGAUUGUAAAGUUCUUUAGCCUGUGACGAUGAUGACGGUAACAGGAGAAUAAGCCCCGGCUAACUUCGUGCCAGCAGCCGCGGUAAUACGAAGGGGGCUAGCGUUGUUCGGAAUUACUGGGCGUAAAGCGCGCGUAGGCGGUUUUACAAGCCAGAGGUGAAAUGCCUGAGCUUAACUUGGGAAUUGCCUUUGGAACUGUAUGACUUCGAGGACGAGAGAGGUGAGUGGAAUUCCCAGUGUAGAGGUGAAAUUCGUAGAUAUUGGGAAGAACACCGGUGGCGAAGGCGGCUCACUGGCUCGUUUCUGACGCUGCAGCGCGAAAGCGUGGGGAUCAAACAGGAUUAGAUACCCUGGUAGUCCACGCUGUAAACGAUGAGUGCUAGGCGUCGGCACGCUUGCGUGUCGGUGCCGCAGCUAACGCGUGAAGCACUCCGCCUGGGGAGUACGGUCGCAAGAUUAAAACUCGAAGGAAUUGACGG